Peromyscus maniculatus bairdii (prairie deer mouse) is the source of this 354-nucleotide non-coding RNA. The record is from the annotation of a RefSeq genome assembly. NCBI's taxonomy places the organism in Eukaryota, Metazoa, Chordata, Mammalia, Rodentia, Cricetidae.
AUGGUUCAUGUGUAUAUGAUUCCAGGUUCCACUGGGGACAUUGUGCUGACCCAGUCUCCAGCUUCAUUGGCUGUCUCUCUGGGACAAAAGGCCACCAUCUCUUGCAAGUCCAGUGAAAGUGUCAAUGAAUAUGGUAUAGAUUUUAUGGACUGGUAUCAACAGAAACCAGGACAGCCCCCCAAACUCCUCAUCUAUGCAGCAUCCAACCUAGCAUCUGGGGUUUCUGCCAGGUUCAGUGGCAGUGGGUCUGAGACAGACUUCACCCUCACCAUCCAUCCUGUGCAGGCUGAUGAUGCUGCAAUCUAUCACUGUCAGCAGGGUAAGGAGGAUCCUCCCACAGUGCUUCAGGGCUAA